This 291-nucleotide ribosomal RNA is filed under the name uncultured bacterium. Its description in RNAcentral is "partial 16S ribosomal RNA". It matches the Rfam family "Bacterial small subunit ribosomal RNA", at positions 338 to 621 of the family's 1533-position model. The record is from RNAcentral.
CCUACGGGACGCAGCAGUAGGGAAUCUUCCACAAUGGACGAAAGUCUGAUGGAGCAACGCCGCGUGAGUGAAGAAGGGUUUCGGCUCGUAAAGCUCUGUUGGUAGUGAAGAAAGAUAGAGGUAGUAACUGGCCUUUAUUUUACGGUAAUUACUUAGAAAGUCACGGCUAACUACGUGCCAGCAGCCGCGGUAAUACGUAGGUGGCAAGCGUUGUCCGGGUUUAUUGGGCGUAAAGCGAGUGCAGACGGUUCAAUAAGUCUGAUGUGAAAGCCUUCGGCUCAACCGGAGAAU